GACGAACGCUGGCGGCAGGCUUAACACAUGCAAGUCGAACGAGAAGCCAGAGCUUGCUCUGGUGGACAGUGGCAAACGGGUGAGUAACGCGUGGGAACAUGCCCAGUAGUACGGAAUAGCCCAGAGAAAUUUGGUGUAAUACCGUAUACGCCCUUCGGGGGAAAGAUUUAUCGCUAUUGGAGUGGCCCGCGUUAGAUUAGAUAGUUGGUGGGGUAAUGGCCUACCAAGUCUACGAUCUAUAGCUGGUUUGAGAGGAUGAUCAGCCACACUGGGACUGAGACACGGCCCAGACUCCUACGGGAGGCUGCAGUGAGGAAUAUUGGACAAUGGGGGAAACCCUGAUCCAGCCAUGCCGCGUGAAUGAAGAAGGCCUUAGGGUUGUAAAGUUCUUUCGUCGGUGAAGAUAAUGACGGUAGCCGAAGAAGAAGCCCCGGCU
Molecule: ribosomal RNA, 436 nt
Filed under: uncultured bacterium
Lineage: Bacteria
Description: bacterial SSU rRNA
Rfam family: Bacterial small subunit ribosomal RNA
Source: RNAcentral